RNAcentral lists this ribosomal RNA (425 nucleotides) under uncultured cyanobacterium. RNAcentral describes it as "bacterial SSU rRNA". It matches the Rfam family "Bacterial small subunit ribosomal RNA", at positions 356 to 795 of the family's 1533-position model. Lineage: Bacteria; Bacillati; Cyanobacteriota. The record is from RNAcentral.
GGGGAAUUUUCCGCAAUGGGGGCAACCCUGACGGAGCAAUACCGCGUGGGGGAGGAAGGCCCUUGGGUUGUAAACCCCUUUUCUCAGGGAAGAAUAACUGACGGUACCUGAGGAAUCAGCCUCGGCUAACUCCGUGCCAGCAGCCGCGGUAAGACGGAGGAGGCAAGCGUUAUCCGGAAUCAUUGGGCGUAAAGCGUCCGUAGGUGGUCCUUCAAGUCUGCUGUCNNNNCCCAGGGCUCAACCCUGGAGAGGCAGUGGAAACUGAAGGACUUAGAGUGCGGUAGGGGUAGAGGGAAUUCCCGGUGUAGCGGUGAAAUGCGUAGAGAUCGGGAAGAACACCAGUGGCGUAAGCGCUAUACUGGACCGCAACUGACACUGAGGGACGAAAGCUAGGGGAGCGAAUGGGAUUAGAUACCCCAGUAGUC